UAGGGAAUCUUCGGCAAUGGACGGAAGUCUGACCGAGCAACGCCGCGUGAGUGAAGAAGGUUUUCGGAUCGUAAAGCUCUGUUGUAAGAGAAGAACGAGUGUGAGAGUGGAAAGUUCACACUGUGACGGUAUCUUACCAGAAAGGGACGGCUAACUACGUGCCAGCAGCCGCGGUAAUACGUAGGUCCCGACGUUGUCCGGAUUUAUUGGGCGUAAAGCGAGCGCAGGCGGUUAGAUAAGUCUGAAGUUAAAGGCUGUGGCUUAACCAUAGUAGGCUUUGGAAACUGUUUAACUUGAGUGCAAGAGGGGAGAGUGGAAUUCCAUGUGUAGCGGUGAAAUGCGUAGAUAUAUGGAGGAACACCGGUGGCGAAAGCGGCUCUCUGGCUUGUAACUGACGCUGAGGCUCGAAAGCGUGGGGAGCAAACAGGAUUAGAUACCCUGGUAGUCCACGCUGUAAACGAUGAGUGCUAGGUGUUAGACCCUUUCCGGGGUUUAGUGCCGUAGCUAACGCAUUAAGCACUCCGCCUGGGGAGUACGACCGCAAGGUU
This 548-nucleotide ribosomal RNA is filed under the name uncultured bacterium. RNAcentral's name for it is "bacterial SSU rRNA". It matches the Rfam family "Bacterial small subunit ribosomal RNA", at positions 355 to 895 of the family's 1533-position model. The record is from RNAcentral.